Molecule: unclassified non-coding RNA, 161 nt
Filed under: uncultured Helotiales
Lineage: Eukaryota; Fungi; Ascomycota; Leotiomycetes; Helotiales
Description: sequence contains ITS1
Source: RNAcentral
CAGAGUUCAUGCCCCCCGGGGUAGUCCUCCACCCGUGCAUACCGUACCUCUGUUGCUUCGGCGGGUCGUCGAGACCCUCGGCCACCGGCGCCCGCUGGUGCGUGCCCGCCAAAGGACCUCAACUCUGAAUAACAGUCGUCUGAGUACUAUACAAAUAGUUA